GCUUGCUACUCUGCCGGCGAGCGGCGGACGGGUGAGUAAAGUCUGGGGAUCUGGCUUAUGGAGGGGGGUAACCAUUGGAAACGGUGGCUAAUACCGCAUGAUGUCGCAAGACCAAAGUGGGGGACUUUAGGGCCUCACGCCAUAAGAUGAACCCAGAUGAGAUUAGCUAGUAGGUGCGGUAAUGGCGUACCUAGGCGACGAUCUCUAGCUGGUCUGAGAGGAUGACCAGCCACACUGGAACUGAGAAACGGUCCAGACUCCUACGGGAGGCAGCAGUGGGGAAUAUUGCACAAUGGGCGGAAGCCUGAUGCAGCCAUGCCGCGUGUGUGAAGAAGGCCUUAGGGUUGUAAAGCACUUUCAGCGGGGAGGAAGGCGGUAAGAGUAAUAUGCUUAUCGAUUGACGUUACCCGCAAAAGAAGCACCGGCUAACUCCGUGCCAGCAGCCGCGGUAAUACGGAGGGUGCGAGCGUUAAUCGGAAUAACUGGGCGUAAAGGGCAUGUAGGCGGUAAGUUAAGUCAGAUGUGAAAUCCCCGAGCUUAACUUGGGAACGGCAUUUGAGACUGGCGGGCUAGAGUUUUGUAGAGGGGGGUAGAAUUCCAGGUGUAGCGGUGAAAUGCGUAGAGAUCUGGAGGAAUACCGGUGGCGAAGGCGGCCCCCUGGACAAGGACUGACGCUGAGGUGCGAAAGCGUGGGUAGCAAACAGGAUUAGAUACCCUGGUAGUCCACGCUGUAAACGAUGUCGAUUUGGAGGUUGUGGCCUAGUGUUAUGGCGUCCGAANCUAACGCGAUAAAUCGACCGCCUGGGGAGUACGGCCGCAAGGUUAAAACUCAAAUGAAUUGACGGGGGCCCGCACAAGCGGUGGAGCAUGUGGUUUAAUUCGAUGCANCGCGAAGAACCUUACNNUACUCUUGACAUCCACGGAAUUGAGCA
RNAcentral lists this ribosomal RNA (932 nucleotides) under Candidatus Regiella insecticola. Its description in RNAcentral is "bacterial SSU rRNA". It matches the Rfam family "Bacterial small subunit ribosomal RNA", at positions 72 to 1002 of the family's 1533-position model. Lineage: Bacteria; Pseudomonadati; Pseudomonadota; Gammaproteobacteria; Enterobacterales; Enterobacteriaceae. The record is from RNAcentral.